This 549-nucleotide ribosomal RNA is filed under the name uncultured Glomeromycotina. RNAcentral describes it as "SSU rRNA". It matches the Rfam family "Eukaryotic small subunit ribosomal RNA", at positions 548 to 1098 of the family's 1831-position model. Lineage: Eukaryota; Fungi; Glomeromycota. The record is from RNAcentral.
UUGGAGGGCAAGUCUGGUGCCAGCAGCCGCGGUAAUUCCAGCUCCAAUAGCGUAUAUUAAAGUUGUUGCAGUUAAAAAGCUCGUAGUUGAAUUUCGGGAUCAAUUUAUCGGUCGUGCCUCUGGUAUGCACUGGUAUUAUUGAUUUCUACCUUCUGACGAACCAUGAUGUCAUUAAUUUGGUGUCAUGGGGAAUCAGGACUGUUACUUUGAAAAAAUUAGAGUGUUUAAAGCAAGCACACGCUUGAAUACAUUAGCAUGGAAUAAUGAAAUAGGACGUUUGACCCUAUUUUGUUGGUUUCUAGGAUCGACGUAAUGAUUAAUAGGGAUAGUUGGGGGCAUUAGUAUUCAAUUGUCAGAGGUGAAAUUCUUGGAUUUAUUGAAGACUAACUACUGCGAAAACAUUUGCCAAGGAUGUUUUCAUUAAUCAAGAACGAAAGUUAGGGGAUCGAAGACGAUCAGAUACCGUCGUAGUCUUAACCAUAAACUAUGCCGACUAGGGAUCGGAUGAUGUUAAUUUUUUAAUGACUCAUUCGGCGCCUUACGGGAAAC